RNAcentral lists this ribosomal RNA (430 nucleotides) under uncultured bacterium. RNAcentral describes it as "bacterial SSU rRNA". It matches the Rfam family "Bacterial small subunit ribosomal RNA", at positions 354 to 776 of the family's 1533-position model. The record is from RNAcentral.
GUGGGGAAUAUUGCGCAAUGGGGGGAACCCUGACGCAGCCAUGCCGCGUGAAUGAAGAAGGCCUUCGGGUUGUAAAGUUCUUUCGGUGACGAGGAAGGAGUGUUGGUUAAUACCCAGCGCUAUUGACGUUAAUCACAGAAGAAGCACCGGCUAACUCCGUGCCAGCAGCCGCGGUAAUACGGAGGGUGCGAGCGUUAAUCGGAAUAACUGGGCGUAAAGGGCACGCAGGCGGAUUUUUAAGUGAGGUGUGAAAGCCCCGGGCUUAACCUGGGAAUUGCAUUUCAGACUGGGAAUCUAGAGUACUUUAGGGAGGGGUAGAAUUCCACGUGUAGCGGUGAAAUGCGUAGAGAUGUGGAGGAAUACCGAAGGCGAAGGCAGCCCCUUGGGAAUGUACUGACGCUCAUGUGCGAAAGCGUGGGGAGCAAACAGG